GCUGGGCAUAGUGGCACAAGCUUGUAAUCCCCAUCUGCAGGAAGAGUAAGACUGGUAGAUCUCUUAAGCUUGGAAGUUCUGAGCUGUAGUGAGCUAAGCCAGUAGGGUUCUGCACUGUCUGGCACCAAAAUGAUAAGCUUCUGAAGGGGAGGAAGUACCAGGUUGCCUAAGGAGGGCAGACAGACCCAGGUCAGAAGUGGAGCAGGUCAAAGCUCCCAUGCCAGUCAGUACCUGAUGUUGGGCCUGCGAAUAGCCUUGUAUUUCUAGCCCGGGUGAGAUGGGGAGACUCAGUCUUUU
RNAcentral lists this signal recognition particle RNA (297 nucleotides) under Vombatus ursinus (common wombat). RNAcentral describes it as "Metazoan signal recognition particle RNA (ENSVURG00010002814.1)". It matches the Rfam family "Metazoan signal recognition particle RNA". Rfam says of the family: The signal recognition particle (SRP) is a universally conserved ribonucleoprotein. It is involved in the co-translational targeting of proteins to membranes. The record is from Rfam by way of RNAcentral. Lineage: Eukaryota; Metazoa; Chordata; Mammalia; Diprotodontia; Vombatidae.